Molecule: ribosomal RNA, 99 nt
Filed under: Cebus imitator (Panamanian white-faced capuchin)
Lineage: Eukaryota; Metazoa; Chordata; Mammalia; Primates; Cebidae
Source: RNAcentral
UCGCCAUAGUAGCCUGAGGGCACCCCAGCAUGGAAGCUAAGCAGGGUCGAGCCUGGCUGGUGCUUGAAUGGGUGGACACGUGGAAAGACCAGGCCUGAA